UAGCAGGGCCCCAAGUGGUAGUCGUUAUUAUUGGGCUUAAAGUGUUCGUAGCCGGCCAUGCAAGUCUGCUGUGAAAUCCACGCGCUUAACGUGUGGGCGUGCAGCGGAUACUGCAUGGCUAGGGACCGGACGGCGUCGAGGCUAUUCCAGGGGUAGGGGUGAAAUCCUAAAAUCCCUGGAGGAGCACCUGUGGCGAAAGCGCUCGACGAGUACGGAUCCGACGGUGAGGAACGAAAGCCAGAGGAGCAAA
RNAcentral lists this ribosomal RNA (250 nucleotides) under uncultured Nanohalarchaeota archaeon. RNAcentral describes it as "uncultured Nanohaloarchaeota archaeon partial 16S ribosomal RNA". It matches the Rfam family "Archaeal small subunit ribosomal RNA", at positions 474 to 723 of the family's 1478-position model. Lineage: Archaea; Nanobdellati; Candidatus Nanohalarchaeota. The record is from RNAcentral.